GGUUAGGUACAGACGCGCUGUGGUGUUGCCGGGUUGGCGCUUGGGUGAGUCGCAUGCGACAAGUCCAGUUGUUCGAUCUUGGUGGCGUUAUAGUGCCCUAGCUGAUCCUCGGUGUAAAAGUUGGUCAUCUCUCCGACCCGUCUUGAAACACGGACCAAGGAGUCUAGCGUAUGCGCGAGUCAUUGGGCGGAAAACCCAUAGGCGUAAUGAAAGUAAAGGUCUCUUUUCGGAGGCUGAUAUGCGAUCCGUCGUGCCACGGUGCGGCGGAGCAGCAUAGCCCCAUCUUGACUGCUUGCAGUGGGGUGGAGGUAGAGCGUAUUCGCUGGUACCCGAAAGAUGGUGAACUAUGCCUGAGCAGGAUGAAGCCAGAGGAAACUCUGGUGGAGGUCCGUAACGCUUCUGACGUGCAAAUCGAUCGUCUGACUUGGGUAU
This 432-nucleotide ribosomal RNA is filed under the name Pseudacrobeles macrocystis. Its description in RNAcentral is "partial large subunit ribosomal RNA". It matches the Rfam family "Eukaryotic large subunit ribosomal RNA", at positions 513 to 918 of the family's 3401-position model. Lineage: Eukaryota; Metazoa; Nematoda; Chromadorea; Rhabditida; Cephalobidae. The record is from RNAcentral.